Molecule: ribosomal RNA, 196 nt
Filed under: uncultured bacterium
Lineage: Bacteria
Description: partial 16S ribosomal RNA
Rfam family: Bacterial small subunit ribosomal RNA
Source: RNAcentral
CCUACGGGAGGCAGCAGUGGGGAAUUUUGGACAAUGGGCGCAAGCCUGAUCCAGCAAUGCCGCGUGAGUGAAGAAGGCCUUCGGGUUGUAAAGCUCUUUUGUCAGGGAAGAAACGGUCUUGGAUAAUACCUGGGGCUAAUGACGGUACCUGAAGAAUAAGCACCGGCUAAGCUAUCGUGCCAGCAGCCGCGGUAAU